This 417-nucleotide long non-coding RNA is filed under the name Malus domestica (apple). RNAcentral's name for it is "long non-coding RNA (MDOM_LNC019125)". Lineage: Eukaryota; Viridiplantae; Streptophyta; Magnoliopsida; Rosales; Rosaceae. The record is from RNAcentral.
AAUUUCAAUACAACAACAACAACAACAAAGCCUUUUCCCACUAAGUGGGGUCGGCUAUAUGAAUCCUAGAACGCCAUUGCGCUCGGUUUUGUGUCAUGUCCUCCGUUAGAUCCAAGUACUCAAGUCUUUUCUUAGGGUCUCUUUCAAAGUUUUCCUAGGUCUUCCUCUACCCCUUCGGCCCUGAACCUCUGUCCCGUAGUCACAUUUUCGAACCGGAGCGUCAGUAGGCCUUCUUUGCACAUGUCCAAACCACCGGAACCGAUUUUCUCUCAUAUUUCCUUCAAUUUUGGCUACUCCUACUUUACCUCGGAUAUCCUCAUUCCCAAUCUUAUCCUUUCUCGUGUGCCCAUACAUCCCACGAAGCAUCCUCAUCUCAGCUACACCCAUUUUGUGUACGUGUUGAUGCUUCACCGCCCA